RNAcentral lists this transfer RNA (71 nucleotides) under Flavobacteriia bacterium. RNAcentral's name for it is "tRNA-Glu". It matches the Rfam family "tRNA". From Rfam's summary of the family: Transfer RNA (tRNA) molecules are approximately 80 nucleotides in length. Their secondary structure includes four short double-helical elements and three loops (D, anti-codon, and T loops). Lineage: Bacteria; Pseudomonadati; Bacteroidota; Flavobacteriia. The record is from RNAcentral.
UCCCAAAUCGUCUAGUGGUAAGAUAGCCGCCUCUCACGCGGUUGACCCGGGUCCGAUUCCCGGUUUGGGAA